This 911-nucleotide ribosomal RNA is filed under the name Bacillus sp. LASP1. Its description in RNAcentral is "bacterial SSU rRNA". It matches the Rfam family "Bacterial small subunit ribosomal RNA", at positions 56 to 951 of the family's 1533-position model. The record is from RNAcentral. Lineage: Bacteria; Bacillati; Bacillota; Bacilli; Caryophanales; Bacillaceae.
UGCAGUCGAGCGGACCAAAGGGAGCUUGCUCCUGGAGGUUAGCGGCGAACGGGUGAGUAACACGUGGGCAACCUGCCUGUCAGACUGGGAUAACAUCGAGAAAUCGGUGCUAAUACCGGAUAAUAAAAAGAACUGCAUGGUUCUUUUUUGAAAGAUGGUUUCGGCUAUCACUUACAGAUGGGCCCGCGGCGCAUUAGCUAGUUGGUGAGGUAACGGCUCACCAAGGCAACGAUGCGUACCCAACCUGAGAGGGUGAUCGGCCACACUGGGACUGAGACACGGCCCAAACUCCUACGGGAGGCAGCAGUAGGGAAUCUUCCGCAAUGGACGAAAGUCUGACGGACCAACGCCGCGUGAGUGAUGAAGGUUUUCGGAUCGUAAAACUCUGUUGUUAGGGAAGAACAAGUGCCGUUCGAAAGGGCGGCACCUUGACGGUACCUAACGAGAAAGCCACGGCUAACUACGUGCCAGCAGCCGCGGUAAUACGUAGGUGGCAAGCGUUGUCCGGAAUUAUUGGGCGUAAAGCGCGCGCAGGCGGUCUCUUAAGUCUGAUGUGAAAGCCCCCGGCUCAACCGGGGAGGGUCAUUGGAAACUGGGAGACUUGAGUGCAGAAGAGGAGAGUGGAAUUCCACGUGUAGCGGUGAAAUGCGUAGAGAUGUGGAGGAACACCAGUGGCGAAGGCGACUCUCUGGUCUGUAACUGACGCUGAGGCGCGAAAGCGUGGGGAGCAAACAAGAUUAGAUACCCUGGUAGUCCACGCCGUAAACGAUGAGUGCUAGGUGUUAGGGGUUUCGAUGCCCUUAGUGCCGANUUAACACAUUAAGCACUCCGCCUGGGGAGUACGACCGCAAGGUUGAAACACAAAGGAAUUGACUGGGGCCCGCACAAGCAGUGGAUCAUGUGGUUUAAUC